AUACUGCUGAGCUAGGGACCGGGAGAGGCCGAGGGUAUUCCCGGGGUAGGGGUGAAAUCCUGUAAUCCCGGGAGGACCACCUGUGGCGAAGGCGCUCGGCUGGAACGGGUCCGACGGUGAGGGACGAAGGCCUGGGGAGCGAACCGGAUUAGAUACCCGGGUAGUCCAGGCUGUAAACGAUGCGGGCUAGGUGUCACCGGAGCUACGAGCUCCGGUGGUGCCGGAGGGAAGCCGUUAAGCCCGCCGCCUGGGAAGUACGGCCGCAAGGCUGAAACUUAAAGGAAUUGGCGGGGGAGCACUACAACGGGUGGAGCCUGCGGUUUAAUUGGAUUCAACGACAAAAAAGCUUACCGGGGGAGACAGCGGGAUGAAGGUCGGGCUGAAGACCUUACCAGACUAGCUGAGAGGUGGUGCAUGGCCGCCGUCAGUUCGUACUGUGAAGCAUCCUGUUAAGUCAGGCAACGAGCGAGACCCGCGCCCUCAGUUGCCAGCGGGUCCCUUCGGGGACGCCGGGCACACUGAGGGGACUGCCGGCGCUAAGCCGGAGGAAGGUGCGGGCAACGGCAGGUCCGUAUGCCCCGAAUCCCCCGGGCUACACGCGGGCUACAAUGGCCGGGACAAUGGGUACCGACCCCGAAAGGGGUGGGUAAUCUCCUAAACCCGGUCUAACCUGGGAUCGAGGGCUGCAACUCGCCCUCGUGAACCUGGAAUCCGUAGUAAUCGCGUCUCA
Molecule: ribosomal RNA, 730 nt
Filed under: uncultured archaeon
Lineage: Archaea
Description: bacterial SSU rRNA
Rfam family: Archaeal small subunit ribosomal RNA
Source: RNAcentral